Molecule: signal recognition particle RNA, 304 nt
Filed under: Nanobdellota archaeon
Lineage: Archaea; Nanobdellati; Nanobdellota
Description: signal recognition particle sRNA
Rfam family: Archaeal signal recognition particle RNA
Source: RNAcentral
GCAAGGGCCAGGCCGGGGCGUUGGGCGUGCCUUGUAACCACAAACCGUCCUUAUGGUGGGGCUGCGAGCCGGUGAGCGGGCGUUGCGGCUGUGUCUGGUCCGGACGCUUGACGUCGAAGCGUUGUCCCUGCGGGUCGCUGAUGCAGUGAACCGUGUCAGGCCUUGACCGGAGCAGCACUAAGCUGUACCAAAUCACAUCCCAUGUGGGAUGUGAGGGUAACGAUGUCGCAGGGGUCGCAACGUGGAGGAGAGUGUUCCGGGCAGCCAGAUGCUGUCGUGCGUUCCAUCACCGGACGGUCCUUGC